Molecule: long non-coding RNA, 1133 nt
Organism: Nycticebus coucang (slow loris)
Lineage: Eukaryota; Metazoa; Chordata; Mammalia; Primates; Lorisidae
Exons: 5
Source: RefSeq, a predicted model, not a curated record
CUCACUAUCUGUUCCUUUUACCUGAUAAGGAGAUCGAUGUCCCACCCUUUGGAUACGAGAAAACAUCUGCCCGGUACGUGGGAUGCCCCCACGCUGUGCGCAGAUCCAAGCAGCUUCUCAUGGACACCUGCAGGCUCUGUCACCCUUCCUGGAUCCCUGAGCACUGAGGCUAGAGCCCUGAGGUUGCUUACCAGGUGGGCGGAGGGCAGACAAAACUUCAGGACCCACAACAGAUUCUUCCUUACUUUCUAGCACCACAAGAUGCUCCAGACUCAUCUUGUAUUUUCCCUGCUCCACCAGGCUCAGCAGCUUCUCCAGGGAUCUCUGGUCACUCCCCCAGAGGACAAUGUCAGAGGCCAUGACCUGGAUACUGGGCCCCCCAGGACAUGACCGGCACCACAUCCCCUGGCCCUCAGCUGCUGGCUGGUCCCUGAAAACCAGAGGCCACACCCAAGCAAGUGGAAGGGGACUCUGAAGGGACCCCCAAGCGAAGAGACAUCCCAGGUACGAGAGAAGAUGAAUGACCGUCCCCAUUUCAAACGAGCCCUGCUAAUGACUGUCUAGUGCGGCCAUGGCUUCACCAACUAAACUCAGCCUGUGAAUCCCCGAUGAGCUGGGUCCUUGAUUAAUGCUAAUGGCUUUUCUCACCAGCUGUGAAAAUGCAUUUUCCAUAAUUUAGCUGUCAUUACAAUGGGCAGGAUUUAUAAAACACACGCGCACUCUACGUGCUGGGAGGACCCAGAGGCGAGCGGCCCCAGGAAGGCCGGGAGGCAGCCAGCCAUCCCAGGAAGGGCGGGUGCCACUGCCAGCCACACCUGGCGCCAGGUCACCCUGCUGCCCCGAGACCCCAUGCAGGGUCCACAGCAGAACCGAGACCUCCCCCUGGGGACCUGAGCUCUGACCAGGGCUGUGAUGGGUCAGCCCCUGCCUCUGCCAGGUGCAGGUAACAGAAGGAACAAGGGCAUCUCUUGGGGAGCUCCAAGUUCCACCUCAUCCUGCUCAUUCCACAGAAGAGGAAUUUGGGGUCCAAGGACCAGUCACCCCCUGCGACAUCAGUCACCGGCAGGGAAUUGAGCAGAGACUUACACUGGGGUGUGGGAGCCCAGAGCCUCACCCCCCUCCCCCUCCAGGGG